RNAcentral lists this ribosomal RNA (503 nucleotides) under uncultured bacterium. RNAcentral describes it as "bacterial SSU rRNA". It matches the Rfam family "Bacterial small subunit ribosomal RNA", at positions 26 to 518 of the family's 1533-position model. The record is from RNAcentral.
GCUAGGAUGAACGCUAGCGGCAGGCUUAACACAUGCAAGUCGAGGGGCAGCGGGAUGUAGCAAUACAUUGCCGGCGACCGGCGGAUGGGUGCGUAACGCGUAUGCAACCUACCUUAUACAGGGGAAUAACCUUUCGAAAGGGAGACUAACACCCCAUAGUAUUGAUUUAAGGCAUCUUAGAUUAAUUAAAUAUUUAUAGGUAUAAGAUGGGCAUGCGUAUGAUUAGCUAGUUGGUAAGGUAACGGCUUACCAAGGCGACGAUCAUUAGGGGUUCUGAGAGGAAGGUCCCCCACACUGGUACUGAGACACGGACCAGACUCCUACGGGAGGCAGCAGUGAGGAAUAUUGGUCAAUGGGCGCAAGCCUGAACCAGCCAUGCCGCGUGCAAGGAAGACGGCCUUAUGGGUUGUAAACUGCUUUUACAUAAGACUAACCGUAUAUUUGCGAAUAUACCUGAAUGUAUUAUGAGAAUAAGGAUCGGCUAACUCCGUGCCAGCCGCAGC